Molecule: long non-coding RNA, 866 nt
Organism: Mytilus californianus (California mussel)
Lineage: Eukaryota; Metazoa; Mollusca; Bivalvia; Mytilida; Mytilidae
Exons: 2
Source: RefSeq, a predicted model, not a curated record
UGGUGGGUUUUGUUUUCACUAAAAAAUUACCUGAGAAGACAUGAAAUGAAACAAUUGUAUGUUUUAAACUUAAAGGUUAGCACGUAUGAGUAACAUGUGAAAUGAACCGAGAUAUUGUGCUUUUAUCAUUUGAAAAAUUUAAAGUGAAGGGAAAAUGGCGACGGUGUUGGCGAACAUUCAACGAACCAGACAUAAUGCAAGAAAAGCAAUUUCACAAGGAAUGCUGGAUGUUGCACUUUUCUUAUCAAAUGUCGCGCAGAUUAAAUCUGUCUUAGACGGAGAUCUAGGAGUAGGAACAAGACCAUUAAUAGCGAUUGUCAUGAUUUCAUUAUCAUUACUUAUGCAGGUGGCGAUAGGAAUAUUAAUAAUAAUGUUAUUAUAUUUAGAAGGGGCAUUACUUCAGCUUAAACAGGCAAGUCGUGAUAAUGCGUUACUUUCUGAUGAUGGGGCCAUGGCAGUGGAGGUCACUAAUAUGGAACCGCAGCCAGUCCUAUCAGCUGCUGACGAUGCUGGUGCAAAGAAAAGAUCUAAGCUGCCCAUACGUGCUAGAAGAAUUAACACUGCAAUUUUAUGUCUGAUUUUCGGAGUUUUGUGUUUUAAUCUUGUUAUAAACGGAUUAGAACUUUCGAAGCCUAAUGUCCUUAAACAGUUGAUUAUGGCGUACAAUAUAACUUUACCAAAAUGAAGAUAUUCACAAUGACGAUGUUGCCAAUCUUAAGUUGUAACAUGAAUAAAAUAUCAUCACUUCAAAUAAAUUUCAUUGAAAGUUUUCUUAGAUGUCUGUAGCAAGUAUUGUAUGUAGAUAGUUCGCACGGACUUUAAUUACUCAAAACCUUUAAUUUUUAAUAAAAAAAAAAUGAACGUUU